Non-coding RNA from Lonchura striata (white-rumped munia), 649 nucleotides. The record is from RefSeq and is a predicted model, not a curated record. Lineage: Eukaryota; Metazoa; Chordata; Aves; Passeriformes; Estrildidae.
UGGUGGGAGAAUAAGAGGAAAAGCAAGCAGAAAGAUGAUUUUCAUCUAGGCAAUUUUGAAGAUCCUAGGCUUUCUGGUAAAUAUUCCUGUAGGUACCAUAGUUUUGAGAAAGAAUUGUUGAGAAAGAUGUUGAGAAAGAAUUUUGUUUCCAAAGAGCUAAAUAAUCCAUGUGGAGCUAAAUAAUCCAAGUGUCACAGACACUUGAGCAUCACUCUGCAGCCUGUAGCAUCAUUGCAGGUGCAGAGACUUACAGCUCCACACUCACCCCCAGAGCAGAGCCACUCCAGCUUAGGAAACCUCAGGACCGUGGAGUCUGAUGUCUGAGACACUGUGUUGCCAGUUUUAGCAGGGAAGAUAAACUCUGCUUCAAGAACUGCAGGCAGCUCCAUUCAUGUGGCCGAUGCUUUCACUUGCACCUUCUGGUUGAGAGCCCUCUUCAGUUGUCUGAAACAGAAAGGAGACGUCAGUGGAGGCACAUGCGUGUCUUCCAUCAGGCAGCCACUGGGCCUGUCUCCCAUUAGGUAGCUCUGCCUGGCUCUCUAUUAUUGCCACAAUUCUUAGUUCUGAAAGAAAUGGAACUGAUUGUGUACAAAUGUCUGUAACAGUAGGCUUGCACUGAAAACCUAAUAAAAUCUAGAUAUAUAGCAAA